CCCCUCUCAGGGUCAAACCUGGAGAGUCUCCAGUAGUCUGCCAGUCUCAGCAGUGGGAGGGAGAGUCGAGCAGAGGCAUAUCCAUUCCAUUCCUAGCUUGGGCAGUGGCUAGCGAGUGGAAGGCCAACUGCUACAAAU
Molecule: small nucleolar RNA, 138 nt
Filed under: Ornithorhynchus anatinus (platypus)
Lineage: Eukaryota; Metazoa; Chordata; Mammalia; Monotremata; Ornithorhynchidae
Source: RNAcentral